Molecule: ribosomal RNA, 452 nt
Filed under: uncultured bacterium
Lineage: Bacteria
Description: bacterial SSU rRNA
Rfam family: Bacterial small subunit ribosomal RNA
Source: RNAcentral
ACUCCUACGGGAGGCAGCAGUGGGGAAUCUUGGACAAUGGGGGCGAACCCUGAUCCAGCCAUGCCGCGUGAGUGAUGAAGGCCUUAGGGUCGUAAAGCUCUUUCGCCUGUGAUGAUAAUGACAGUAGCAGGUAAAGAAACCCCGGCUAACUCCGUGCCAGCAGCCGCGGUAAUACGGAGGGGGUUAGGCGUUGUUCGGAAUUACUGGGGCGUAAAGCGCGCGUAGGCGGACCAGAAAGUUGGGGGUGAAAUCCCGGGGGCUCAACCCCGGAACUGCCUCCAAAACUCCUGGUCUUGAGUUCGAGAGAGGUGAGUGGAAUUCCGAGUGUAGAGGUGAAAUUCGUAGAUAUUCGGAGGAACACCAGUGGCGAAGGCGGCUCACUGGCUCGAUACUGACGCUGAGGUGCGAAAGUGUGGGGAGCAAACAGGAUUAGAUACCCUGGUAGGAUAGCG